Molecule: transfer RNA, 57 nt
Filed under: Capra hircus (goat)
Lineage: Eukaryota; Metazoa; Chordata; Mammalia; Artiodactyla; Bovidae
Also listed under: 1 other name
Rfam family: tRNA
About the family: Transfer RNA (tRNA) molecules are approximately 80 nucleotides in length. Their secondary structure includes four short double-helical elements and three loops (D, anti-codon, and T loops).
Source: Rfam by way of RNAcentral
UGUCUCAGACAGUAAAGAAUCUGCCUGUAAGGCAGGAGACCCAGGUUCAAUCCCUGG